This 542-nucleotide ribosomal RNA is filed under the name uncultured bacterium. RNAcentral describes it as "partial 16S ribosomal RNA". It matches the Rfam family "Bacterial small subunit ribosomal RNA", at positions 355 to 888 of the family's 1533-position model. The record is from RNAcentral.
UGGGGAAUUUUGGACAAUGGGCGAAAGCCUGAUCCAGCAAUGCCGCGUGUGUGAAGAAGGCCUUCGGGUUGUAAAGCACUUUUGUCCGGAAAGAAAUCCUUGGCUCUAAUACAGUCGGGGGAUGACGGUACCGGAAGAAUGAGCACCGGCUAACUACGUGCCAGCAGCCGCGGUAAUACGUAGGGUGCAAGCGUUAAUCGGAAUUACUGGGCGUAAAGCGUGCGCAGGCGGUUUGCUAAGACCGAUGUGAAAUCCCCGGGCUCAACCUGGGAACUGCAUUGGUGACUGGCAGGCUAGAGUAUGGCAGAGGGGGGUAGAAUUCCACGUGUAGCAGUGAAAUGCGUAGAGAUGUGGAGGAAUACCGAUGGCGAAGGCAGCCCCCUGGGCCAAAUACUGACGCUCAUGCACGAAAGCGUGGGGAGCAAACAGGAUUAGAUACCCUGGUAGUCCACGCCCUAAACGAUGUCAACUAGUUGUUGGGGACUUCAUUUCCUUAGUAACGUAGCUAACGCGUGAAGUUGACCGCCUGGGGAGUACGGUCG